This 200-nucleotide ribosomal RNA is filed under the name uncultured organism. RNAcentral's name for it is "partial small subunit ribosomal RNA". It matches the Rfam family "Bacterial small subunit ribosomal RNA", at positions 1184 to 1382 of the family's 1533-position model. The record is from RNAcentral.
GUCAAGUCAGCAUGGCCUUUAUAUCCAGGGCGACACACACGCUACAAUGGGCGGUACAAUGGGCAGCGAAGGGGCGACCUGGAGCGAAUCCCACCAAAGCCGUUCGUAGUUCGGAUUGCAGGCUGCAACUCGCCUGCAUGAAGCCGGAAUCGCUAGUAACGGUAGGUCAGCACACUACCGUGAAUACGUUCCCGGGUCUU